Long non-coding RNA from Aethalodelphis obliquidens (Pacific white-sided dolphin), 4092 nucleotides. RefSeq lists it as uncharacterized. The transcript is spliced from 3 exons. The record is from RefSeq and is a predicted model, not a curated record. NCBI's taxonomy places the organism in Eukaryota, Metazoa, Chordata, Mammalia, Artiodactyla, Delphinidae.
UCCGGGUCUCCACGAGCUCUUCCGGGGUGCGCACCACGCGGACGGAGUCGGCGUCUGUGGGUAGCUACAAAUGCGUAAGGGAAGGUUAGCGCCGAAAAAGAGCUGUAACAACUUUAGCCGACAGUAACGUCCGGGUGGGGGACAGCAGGACCCUUCCAGUUAGUCACGAUCAAGCUCCAGUGCUCAAGCAAGUCAGCGUCUGCUCUCCGCCCGCCCAGAGAAGCGGAAUCCAGGAAGCGGGGGAUCAGGGCGCGAUCUCAGCAUCCCCGCCCCCACCCGUGGUAGCGAGUACUCGGGCACGGCCCGGGCGCCCCAUUAGCUAGCGUAAAUUCACUGGGCGCAGAAGACACGGCUUUUCUGCACUCUCGCCUCCGGGAAGGUGUCUGCUCCUGGUUGUCUGGAGUGAGGCUGGUCUGAGUGUGAAUUCGGUCGGGCGGGCUCAGCUCACCUCGAGCCUCGAGGGUCAGGAGAUGAACACUGUCGGCAGAAGUCAUAAUGAUGCCCUGUCCGUUCAAUGGGUCAGCUGAAGCGGGCUCCCUCGUGUUUGGUCGAUGUGUUGAAAGUGGGAGUAGAUCCUCCUGAGGUGAUCUCCUUUGUGAGCCUGAAAUUAACUGGACACACCUGGCGCCUUUACUUACAGUUGCUCUCAAACAAUUGCUCCUUUUCCUUCAGAGCAUCCGUCUGUCAACCAGGAUCAGUUGUCUCAGGGCCUACUGUGUGCUCAGAUCUUGACCAGCCCCUUCUGGGGAUACCAGGCCACAGAAGGCCAGGUUCCUGCCCGUGAACCUGGCUCAGGACUUGGGAGUUAGCGCGUUAGUGGAAGAAAGAGAGGGGGCCCAUUAAGAUUACUUAUUUUGUUGCACUUUUUUUCUGGAAUGACUCAAAGUCACCCGGAGAAGAAUAUAAUAUUGCACGCCUGGCCUUAGGCUCGGCUUCCUUUUUCUGACCCUUUCUCAACCCGGCUGUCCCUCCUCAGGAGAUUUGGAAUUCCCCCUGCGGAGGGUGGGUGGGGAAAGAGCCAGCCCAGGUAAGUAUGGGAACCACAUGGUAUCGGGAAUGGACAAAAGGAAAUCAUCGCCAAAUGCAACCAGGCAGGUGGGGGUAGAUUGAAGCAGAAAGGGAAUAGGAAAUGUGAAUAACCCCCAAGGCAGCAGACUCCGGUGGUGAGGUGUGAGAAACAGUCAACAUUUGGAGCUCUGGAGUCAGAAGAUUUUUGGCAGCUGUUAGAUAACUUCCUGAUCUGCAGUAAAGUUCACGUGACCCAGAGGAUGUUUCCGCAAUUCCGUUGCCUGGCUACCUUCCUCCCUUUCCAAGUCUGCAAGCUUAAGAGAUUUUACUGGGUCCCAGUUGAAUGGUGGUGCUGGCCAAAUACCAGGAGCCCAGGAAGGAGUCCUGACCUCCUACAGGGGCAGCCCCAAUCUCACUCACCUGUUGCCUACCCAGCUCUCAACUGCAAGGUGACAUAGAAGCCCCCGUUUCCAGCCGCCAACCUGUCGGUUCCGGACACUCCACAAACGGUCCAAACUGAAUAUUUUUUUUUUCUAUUUAUGUAUAGUUCCAAGAGUCUUCCACUGCCCCGGCACCCUCCUGCCCCAUCAGCAGGAGGAACGCGAUUUUCCAUAAUUAGGGCGUGACCAGUAUGGAAAUAUAUGCAAGGUGUUUAACUCUCCUUAGUGAAAAAAUUUUAAAGGGAUCCUGGCCCGCAAUGCAGGAUUCCCUGGGAAGCAGCGCUCAGUUAGCGGGGCGCAGCACCCGCCAAUCCUGAACCCUUCUCUGCGUGGGUGAAGGCGGAGGAGGGGCUGAGGAGCCCAGGCCCACGCGGCUCCCUACGGCCCAAAUCCCUGGGUUCUUCCAGGGCCAGUGCAGUUGUCGCCUCUUGGUCCCUGCGGCCAGCUGGCCCUCGCAUCGUUCCCACUCCCAGGCCCCCUAGUCACGCACGUGGGUCCUGGGCCGCCCGGCAGGUGGAUAGGAGCUCUUGCUCCACGGGCAUCGCGAGUCCGGGUUUUUGCGCAGGUUCCGGCCAGCUUGGAGGGAUCAUCCUCCGGGGCGUUCUAAUGUGGGCUUUCCAGACGUGCAGCGAGAGGGUUAUAGAACAGGCUGGAGAGCAGUCGCAAGAAAGCAAGGAUCAGACCUCGCCCGCCGGUCGGAGAAUGUAAAUUACGGGGCAAGGCGCUUGUGAGACCCAAGGGAAGGACCUGGAGACCCCAGAGUCGCGGGUCGGGGGAGGGAGGCCGUUGCUUAGGAAGCCACACCUCGCGGUGGGAAGAGGGGAUGGCAGUUCCGUCACGUUUCCCGCGUUUCUAGGAAGAAAGUGCGGUGAUUUCCCCGAAGAUGAAUAAAUACGCAGCGAUGAGGAUCACCAGGGCUAGGAGCCCCGCACCACUGCACACUCAGCAGCUCACAGCCCGCCGCCGUCGUGUGCCUCUCCGCCGGCACGGAGUGAUACCGAAGCAGCAGCUGGGGACGUUGUCGCUGGUGCCAGCCCCACUCACAGCCACCGCGCAGAGCGCAGCUGCACUGGCGUGCUCGCUUGGAGCCAUUUAUUUUUGGUCUUGGCUUAAGAAAUCAUCCUGACCAUGAAUAACUGUAAUAAGAUCACUCUGGCCCCAGCUGUCCGGAACGAGUUUCCAGACUGCCAGAAUCCCUGACAGGCGAGGAGAUAUCACUUCCGGGUCGCGGCAUCCUGCUUGGAGGCGGGAAGAUCAAGUUCAACUCAAAUUGGCAACCUAGUCUCAGUCUCUGCUCAGCCUCUUGGACUUGGAGUUCCUAAAGUUGAGUGUGGCCCACCAGCCACAAGUAGGGGCAGAAACUAUACCAGAGGAUGAUAGAGGAGAAAUACACCAGCGCACUGCGGCUUUCUAACUUGGUUUGUACUUGUCUAUCAGCCUUGUUUGUCACCAGAGUCAGAUCAUCAAUCACUGUUUAUUAAACGCAAUGGUGGGAUAGAGGGGUUACUUACUAAUUGGCGUUUAGGAAAUCAUCAUAGUCACUCCCUCUCUCCCACUCCCCCCAUGACUGUAAAAUGAAUUAAUAUACCCUGCAGGGUUGAAAAAUAAGGACCACUCAUUUGGCUGCCUCUAAGCUUGGAACACUGCUCCAGGGGAAAUGAGGGUCCAGAGCUCUUAGAUUAACCAGAAGUUCAGGAACUGCCCCAGAACUUCCCCACCGUGCCCAAAGGGAAGAGAGGGCUCAACAGGGAUGAGUAUGGCUGCAGGGACUCUUUAAAACAAUUUGUCCUGUGUGCACCUGGAGUCGCUACUGUGUGCAGCAGACUGCCCUGAGGAGAAGGAUGUGGGUUCCUGCUCCAUGAUUCUUCCUGCCCAGGCUCAGCAUCAGGAGAGUAAAGAAAGAGGGAAAGGAGAAAGUAACUAGAGGAUGGAGAGGAUCUGGGAUCUGGGCUGGGACUGUCUUUGUCGGAGAAGAGGAAACAAAAAGAAAUGCUUCCCUAAGCAACUCCCAAUCCACAGUUGCCUCCUGCCACAGGCCUGCACACCCUCCUCCCUUGCCUUCUGGCUUUGCCUUUUCUCUCUCGCUCUCUCAUCCUACCUUCCACACAACGCCUCAAAUCCAAACUCUAGGCAUUUUCUCAAGCAGUCACCAGACCGCCUCUCUGUAGAUGGAAGGGGAGUCCAGGACACCACGAGGCAAUGAGUGCUGGGAGGUGGAGGGACGCAAGUAACAAUGUUUGGGAGCUGGAGCUCCUGGGGUUUCACUGCCAAAAGUUGACACGUGGGUUUCCAGAGCCCCACGGUCAAGUCCUCCCCCCAGCUUAGGGGUGGGUGGUCCCUUUUGCUCACUGGACAGACUCUAACCUCUGGCCCUGACAAGUGGAGAAAGGGCAGAGGUGGCCCUUGGAAGUUAGGAACCGUGUUAAUCCCUUCCCAGGCCUCCCCAGGCUGAAGGGGAGAGCUCUGGAUUCAGUUGAGAUAUUAGUGGUAAAGCAGAAACAAGUCCAGUGAAUUUGAGUUUAAAUCUUCUCAAUGCCGGUGUGGUGGGGCAAGAAAAGUGACACUGAGGGACAUGUGUGGUGGACUCUGGGCUCCCCUGGCUGAGUAAGGGAGUCUGGUAACUUUGGCUCUCAUGGGUAUUUUG